UGUUCCCCUCGGGGCGCGUCGGGCUCAACGUGGAGCACUCGUGGGGAGACCCCCCCGUGGCCUGGCACCUCUGGGAGUUCGCGCUGGCCCUGGACCGGUCCUUGGGCUACGACGAGAGCGGGAAUUGUCCCGGGGACGGGCAGGGCAGGGACCCCGAGCCCCCCAUGGAGCUGCACUGGGAGCUGCCCCCGCAGGUUUCGGGGAUGCUGUCUCAUGCUAAGGGGUUCAGAGCUGUUUGAGGAUAUUUUGGGGUAUUUCAGGAAUAUUUUUGGGGAGGUUUCAGGGAUGCUGUCUCAGCCCUGGGGGUUCAGAGGGGUUUGAGGAUAUUUCGGGGUAUUUU
This 340-nucleotide long non-coding RNA is filed under the name Taeniopygia guttata (zebra finch). Its description in RNAcentral is "lncRNA (ENSTGUG00000024857.1)". Lineage: Eukaryota; Metazoa; Chordata; Aves; Passeriformes; Estrildidae. The record is from RNAcentral.